RNAcentral lists this ribosomal RNA (253 nucleotides) under uncultured bacterium. RNAcentral describes it as "partial 16S ribosomal RNA". It matches the Rfam family "Bacterial small subunit ribosomal RNA", at positions 524 to 776 of the family's 1533-position model. The record is from RNAcentral.
UACGAAGGGGGCUAGCGUUGCUCGGAAUCACUGGGCGUAAAGGGUGCGUAGGCGGGCUCGCCAGUCAGGGGUGAAAUCCCACGGCCCAACCGUGGAAGUGCCUCUGAUACUGCGGGCCUCGAGGGGGAUAGGGGCGUGCGGAACUUCCGGUGGAGCGGUGAAAUGCGUAGAUAUCGGAAGGAACACCGGUGGCGAAAGCGGCGCGCUGGAUCCCUACUGACGCUGAGGCACGAAAGCCAGGGGAGCAAACGGG